RNAcentral lists this ribosomal RNA (441 nucleotides) under uncultured bacterium. Its description in RNAcentral is "partial 16S ribosomal RNA". It matches the Rfam family "Bacterial small subunit ribosomal RNA", at positions 338 to 795 of the family's 1533-position model. The record is from RNAcentral.
CCUACGGGUGGCAGCAGUGGGGGAUAUUGCACAAUGGGGGAAACCCUGAUGCAGCGACGCCGCGUGAGUGAAGAAGUAUUUCGGUAUGUAAAGCUCUAUCAGCAGGGAAGAAAAAAGACGGUACCUGACUAAGAAGCCCCGGCUAACUACGUGCCAGCAGCCGCGGUAAUACGUAGGGGGCAAGCGUUAUCCGGAUUUACUGGGUGUAAAGGGAGCGUAGACGGCAAUACAAGUCGGAAGUGAAAUACCCGGGCUCAACCCGGGAACUGCUUUGGAAACUGUAUGGCUAGAGUGCGGGAGGGGUAAGCGGAAUUCCUAGUGUAGCGGUGAAAUGCGUAGAUAUUAGGAGGAACACCAGUGGCGAAGGCGGCUUACUGGACAGUAACUGACGUUGAGGCUCGAAAGCGUGGGGAGCGAACAGGAUUAGAUACCCUUGUAGUC